RNAcentral lists this ribosomal RNA (385 nucleotides) under uncultured bacterium. RNAcentral describes it as "bacterial SSU rRNA". It matches the Rfam family "Bacterial small subunit ribosomal RNA", at positions 335 to 713 of the family's 1533-position model. The record is from RNAcentral.
ACUCCUACGGGAGGCAGCAGUGGGGAAUAUUGCACAAUGGGCGCAAGCCUGAUGCAGCCAUGCCGCGUGUAUGAAGAAGGCCUUCGGGUUGUAAAGUACUUUCUAGCAGUGAGGAAGGUGGAUAUGUUAAUAGCAUAUUCUAUUUGUACGUUAGCUGCAGAAGAAGCACCGGCUAACUCCGUGCCAGCAGCCGCGGUAAUACGGAGGGUGCGAGCGUUAAUCGGAAUUACUGGGCGUAAAGCGCAUGCAGGUGGUUGUUAAGUCAGAUGUGAAAGCCCGGGGCUCAACCUCGGAAUUGCAUUUGAAACUGGCAAACUAGAGUACUGUAGAGGGGUAGAAUUUCAGGUGUAGCGGUGAAAUGCGUAGAGAUCUGAAGGAUACCGGU